CGCAAUGGGCGCAAGCCUGACGGAGCAAUACCGCGUGAGGGAAGACGGCCCUUGGGUUGUAAACCUCUUUUAUCAAGGAGGAAGUUUCGACGUGUACUUGACGAAUAAGCAUCGGCUAACUCCCUGCCCCCAGCCGCGGUAAGACGGAGGAUGCAAGUGUUAUCCGGAAUCACAAGGCUUAAAGCGUCUCUAGGUGGUUUGAAAAGUCCACUGUUAAAAAUUGAGGCUUAACUUUAAAGAUGCCGUGGAAACUUUCAAACUAGAGUAUGGUAGGGGUAGAGGGAAUUUCCAGGGGAGCGGUGAAAUGCGUAGAUAUUGGAAAGACCACCGAUGGCGAAGGCUCUUUACUGGGCCCUUGCUCUCAUUUAGAGACGAAAUCUA
RNAcentral lists this ribosomal RNA (381 nucleotides) under uncultured organism. Its description in RNAcentral is "bacterial SSU rRNA". It matches the Rfam family "Bacterial small subunit ribosomal RNA", at positions 367 to 762 of the family's 1533-position model. The record is from RNAcentral.